GCGGGGAGGUCCACGGUCGCGCCCCUCUCAAGAGGGGUGAGGAAAGUCCGGGCACCGCAGGGCAGGAUGCCAGCUAACGGCUGGUCGGCGAGUCAAGCGCCUGCACGCGCGCCGAGGGCGUGUGGGUGGCGGCGAAGCCGAAGGACAGUGCCACAGAAACCAGACCGCCCACCUCAAACAGUCUUCGGCGCAGACGAGGUGGGUCAGGGUGAAACGGUGCGGUAAGAGCGCACCAGGCCCCCCGGAGACGGAGGGCGUCUGGUAAACCCCAUCCGGUGCAAGACCCGACAGUGCGGUAGGAGCGGCCCGCUCCCGUGACCGCCAGGAUGGUCGCACGAGGCGUGCGGCGACGCGCGUCCCAGAGAGAUGACCGUGACCCCACCCCGGUGGGCCACAGAACCCGGCUUAUCGCCUCCCCGCACCA
RNAcentral lists this RNase P RNA (424 nucleotides) under Deinococcus hopiensis KR-140. RNAcentral describes it as "Bacterial RNase P class A". It matches the Rfam family "Bacterial RNase P class A". From Rfam's summary of the family: Ribonuclease P (RNase P) is a ubiquitous endoribonuclease, found in archaea, bacteria and eukarya as well as chloroplasts and mitochondria. Lineage: Bacteria; Thermotogati; Deinococcota; Deinococci; Deinococcales; Deinococcaceae. The record is from Rfam by way of RNAcentral.